This 313-nucleotide ribosomal RNA is filed under the name uncultured bacterium. RNAcentral's name for it is "bacterial SSU rRNA". It matches the Rfam family "Bacterial small subunit ribosomal RNA", at positions 28 to 334 of the family's 1533-position model. The record is from RNAcentral.
GAUGAACGCUGGCGGCGUGCUUAACACAUGCAAGUCGAACGGGCUCAUAUUGAAACCUAGUGAUGUAUGAGUUAGUGGCGGACGGGUGAGUAACGCGUGGAGAACCUGCCGUAUACUGGGGGAUAACACUUAGAAAUAGGUGCUAAUACCGCAUAAGCGCACAGCUUCGCAUGAAGCAGUGUGAAAAACUCCGGUGGUAUACGAUGGAUCCGCGUCUGAUUAGCGGGUUGGCGGGGUAACAGCCCACCAAGGCGACGAUCAGUAGCCGGCCUGAGAGGGUGAACGGCCACAUUGGGACUGAGACACGGCCCAA